UGGAUCCAGCAAUAUAACCCCCACAUGAACCAAAUGACUUUGUGAAAGUUCCCAUCAUAAUGUCCACAUCAGCCGUGUCAACUCCCAAGAGCUCACAGACCCCCCUUCCUGUUUUUCCAACAGCUCCAAUGCUGUGAGCCUCAUCCAAAUAUACAUAUGCCUGCAAUGAGAAAAAUACAUCACAAACAAAGUCAUGAGAAAAUUAAACCAAGUGGAAACAUAUGCCUGCAAUGAGAAAAAUAUCACAAACAGAGUCAUGAGAAAAUUAAACCAAAU
RNAcentral lists this long non-coding RNA (276 nucleotides) under Nicotiana benthamiana. RNAcentral's name for it is "long non-coding RNA (NBEN_LNC029628)". The record is from RNAcentral. Lineage: Eukaryota; Viridiplantae; Streptophyta; Magnoliopsida; Solanales; Solanaceae.